CUAAGAUGAAAAUCUUGGAUAAGUAAAAAGAUUUUGAUCAGGGAUCAGAGGGAUGAUGGCUCACUCGGGACACAUUUCCUGUUUACUGAUUUGUGCGUGCGCAACGUCAUGAACUGCAUCCAAAUUUGUAACAAUGCAUGCGUUAAGGGAAAUUGCUAGAUAGUAUACUUCAAAAUAAGGUUUCCGUUUUUAUAUCAAUUUUUUAAAUAGGUUAGGGUUAGGUUAGGGUUGGGGUUAAGGUUAGUAUUAGGGUUAGGUUGGGGACUGUAAAUUACGGUUAAUGGAAUCUUCCAUAAAUUAGGAUCUGAGUACUUUUAUCGAACCAGGCCCCGUACACACAAUUAAGUUUUCUAUAAGAUAUCAUACUAAAAGGUUUCAUAGCGUAUAUAACCGAGCUGACGUCUUGAACAUUUUCCGAAAAUUGGACAUAUAUGCACUUGCUUAUCUGUUGUGGUACAGUCAUUAGUGCACGUGCCUGUCACGUG
Non-coding RNA from Paramuricea clavata, 485 nucleotides. Lineage: Eukaryota; Metazoa; Cnidaria; Anthozoa; Malacalcyonacea; Plexauridae. The record is from the annotation of a GenBank genome assembly.